Molecule: long non-coding RNA, 214 nt
Filed under: Setaria italica (foxtail millet)
Lineage: Eukaryota; Viridiplantae; Streptophyta; Magnoliopsida; Poales; Poaceae
Description: long non-coding RNA (SITA_LNC004411)
Source: RNAcentral
GAUCAUGCUGCUGUCCGAUCCAAAAUGCAAAAGGAGUCAUGAUUGCAACAUGCAAAUGGAGUCAUGAUUACUUUUUGCAAAUUGUCAUGAUUAACUUUUGCAAAUUAUUUUCUACCGUGAGAAGCAAUUGGACAAGCAUCCUGCUAUGCACACACGAAGGCUUAUCAAAAGACUCCAUGAUCUUUUCCUAGUGAACACAAGAGAUGCACGCGAG